RNAcentral lists this ribosomal RNA (135 nucleotides) under uncultured eukaryote. RNAcentral describes it as "partial 18S ribosomal RNA". It matches the Rfam family "Eukaryotic small subunit ribosomal RNA", at positions 1299 to 1458 of the family's 1831-position model. The record is from RNAcentral.
UGGUGGAGUGAUUUGUCUGGUUAAUUCCGAUAACGAACGAGACUCUAGCCUGCUAAAUAGUCUGCAGAUCUCUUUGUCUGUAGUACUUCUUAGAGGGACAAGCGGCUUAUAGCCGCACGAAAAUGAGCAAUAACA